CAUUCAUAUGUUAAUCAGUAUUAUCAGUCACAUUCCGUUUUUACACACAGUAAAAGUCACGUAAAAGAACUGUCAAAAAACACGUGCCCCAAUGGACACCGGGCACCAUACAAUAGAACUUAUUCACCAGGACAUCGUAAAAAAUCAUCUUCAAGUUACGGCUUUAAUACAAGAUAUUCAACAAUGUACUGGCCCUUUAGAGUUACUUAAUGAAUUAAAUGCAGAAGGCAGAGCAAAAAUAGCAGCUCUAAAGUCAUCUAUAGAUGAAUUAGUAUCAGUAGCAGAAAGAGAAUCCUCAGAGAAAAAAAAGGCAGAGUUAUUGGCAGAAGUAGAUACUUAUAAACAACAACUUAAUACUUCUUUAGCUGCAUUUCGUAAAGCUAAUGUUGUUAGUGUAUGUGUGAUAGAUAAACUUGCUAAGGAAGAAUUGCUCUCUAUGCCUGAAGAGCAACAAGCUGCUGUUCGUAGAAGACAUGAUAAACAAAACCUAGCAAACACAUCGAGUCAGCUUUCAGACAAACUUUUAAGUAUAUCUAGACAUUUAGCUGAAACAACUCAAAAAAGUGCAGACACAUUGGAUACACUAAUAACAUCAUCAGAUAAAGUUAUCAGUACCAAAGAUGAAUUAGAACAUCAACAACAAGUUAUAGUUCAAUCUGGAAAACUUUUAGAAAUGUGCAAUUGCAGUUGCUGCGCGAAUGCAUCGACAUUCCAAGUAAAUGAAUCUUUAUAUCACCGUGCAUUUUAUUGUAGCAGAAUUUGUACACACGUAGAAUACAAAAAAAGUUGAAGCGCAUGGUAAAUGCAAAUUUUAUUAUAAUUCGCAUCAAACAAUAAGAGUCUUCUCCAAGUUCAAUGCGACAGUAAGAAGAAAAACAAUUGUAUACGAAAAUUCUACAAUGAUUUGAACUAAGCAGUCAAAAAUAAUAUUUUUGAUAAAUCAUGGUACGAUAAGGAUAAUCUUUACUUUGGCAUUUCCUAUCUCACAUGAAAGAUUAGGAAUAUUGAUGGCAAAAAAACUCUGUUAAACUCGACAAUAAUUUUUUGAAAGAAGAAAAAAGAAACGAAUUUGAUUUAAUUGUUUCGUUUGAAAAAAAUAAAUGAUUAUCGUAUUAAAGUAAACCAUACAGUACACUAAGAAUAUCAAGUUUUAAAAACAUUGAUCAUUGUAUAAUUUUUCAUAAUCAAUAGAUUUCUAAACUUUAAAGUGUCAUGUUCUAUUCAUCAAGAACUACAUUAGAAAGUUUAAAAAAAGUUUUUAAGAGAUACUUUAAAAUGAAUUAUAGUAUAGAAAAACAUUAUAAUAAAUUGAACGAUGUUCUUAAGUUUAUAUAGACAAUAAAAUAUAAAAUAAUUAGAGAUAGAUCUAUAGACGUUUACAAGGACGUUUCAAUAUAUUUUUUUCCGGGGGUAUGGUUGGCGUAUAAAAGAGCAGUAAGCAUCCAGCAUCAUUUCAUUGCGACAGUGUAUUUGUUACCGCGAGUACAGUUCAAACUCUUUAAUAAGUCUAAAAAGAAAGAUGUAAUUAGCCGAAUAUUUGCUCCGGAUCAAAUUCUUACAAAUUUCGCGGUUUAAUCAAUCGUAGUUAAAUAGUGAAAAGUUAAAAGAGGGAGUGUCGCUAAUCAAUUUGUUUAGAAAGUGUGAAGUUUGAAAGUAAAAAUACGAAAAGACCGAAUACAUACUGUAUGUGUUCUCUAAGUAAAAAAUUUUGAAAUAUUGUAAGCAAAAUGAAAAUUUUAUUCUUAGUUUUAUUGUUGAUUGUUACUGGAUCUUCAGCCCCUUGGGUUGAAAUUCUUUUCGGUAAACAAGCAGACUAUAAUUAUCAACCAUCAAAUUAUAAAAAUCAACAAUAUAGACGACAUGGAAAAGGAGGAAAGGAAAGAUGGAAAGAUAUUUGCAGAACGAUAAAUCCGGAUCCUUAUGCGUUUCCGGGACGAGUUCCCUAUCUUUCUGGACCAAUUUGUCCUUGGUAAUCAAAAAGAAGUUAAAUGCACGUAUAUAAUUAAACCACACACACAAAUCCAUUAAAAAUAUGAAUUUAUUGUAACAAUAUAUCAGGGAAUAUGAAGAUAUUCACUGGUUAUGAGUAUUUCAGUCGGUAUACAAGUUUACUAUGUAAUCAAUUACAUAAAAGUAUGCAGUCGUGUUAUACCUGCCAGUAUAAACUAUGUAUCAAGGAAUAAAUUUGUUAACGAUACCUUUCUUGUA
Molecule: RNA transcript, 2208 nt
Organism: Frieseomelitta varia
Lineage: Eukaryota; Metazoa; Arthropoda; Insecta; Hymenoptera; Apidae
Gene: Sec20
Gene name: vesicle transport protein SEC20
Exons: 5
Source: RefSeq, a predicted model, not a curated record